UGGGGAAUAUUGGACAAUGGGCGAAAGCCUGAUCCAGCGACGCCGCGUGUGUGAAGAAGGCCUGCGGGUUGUAAAGCACUUUCGAUGGGAACGAAAUGUGCCGGGCUAAUACCCCGGCAAGCUGACGUUACCCAAUGAAGAAGCACCGGCUAACUCUGUGCCAGCAGCCGCGGUAAUACAGAGGGUGCGAGCGUUAAUCGGAAUUACUGGGCGUAAAGCGCACGUAGGUGGCGACGUAAGUCGGGUGUGAAAGCCCCGGGCUCAACCUGGGAAUUGCAUUCGAGACUGCAUUGCUGGAGUACGGAAGAGGAGGGCGGAAUUCCCGGUGUAGCGGUGAAAUGCGUAGAUAUCGGGAGGAACAUCAGUGGCGAAGGCGGCCCUCUGGUCCAGUACUGACACUCAAGUGCGAAAGCGUGGGGAGCAA
Molecule: ribosomal RNA, 424 nt
Filed under: uncultured bacterium
Lineage: Bacteria
Description: bacterial SSU rRNA
Rfam family: Bacterial small subunit ribosomal RNA
Source: RNAcentral